RNAcentral lists this ribosomal RNA (350 nucleotides) under uncultured Bacillus sp. Its description in RNAcentral is "bacterial SSU rRNA". It matches the Rfam family "Bacterial small subunit ribosomal RNA", at positions 533 to 884 of the family's 1533-position model. The record is from RNAcentral. Lineage: Bacteria; Bacillati; Bacillota; Bacilli; Caryophanales; Bacillaceae.
GGACCGGGUUGUCCGGAUUAUGGGCGUAAGCGCGCGCAGGCGGUUCCUUAAGUCUGAUGUGAAAGCCCCCGGCUCAACCGGGGAGGGUCAUUGGAAACUGGGGAACUUGAGUGCAGAAGAGGAGAGCGGAAUUCCACGUGUAGCGGUGAAAUGCGUAGAGAUGUGGAGGAACACCAGUGGCGAAGGCGGCUCUCUGGUCUGUAACUGACGCUGAGGCGCGAAAGCGUGGGGAGCGAACAGGAUUAGAUACCCUGGUAGUCCACGCCGUAAACGAUGAGUGCUAAGUGUUAGAGGGUUUCCGCCCUUUAGUGCUGCAGCAAACGCAUUAAGCACUCCGCCUGGGGAGUACG